Scophthalmus maximus (turbot) is the source of this 835-nucleotide long non-coding RNA. RefSeq lists it as uncharacterized. Lineage: Eukaryota; Metazoa; Chordata; Actinopteri; Pleuronectiformes; Scophthalmidae. The transcript has 4 exons. The record is from RefSeq and is a predicted model, not a curated record.
UGUUGUCAGGUAGAAUUCUGUUUCUCUGACAGAGUAAACGAAGGUCCAAGGGAGGUUAGCCGAGUCUUUUAGAUCAGAGCUGUUGAUAGCAACGCUCUGCUGUAUCUGCUUGUGACAUGAUAUGUUGUGUAGCCUACUAACAUUAAAGAUAGUUAAGAGAAACGCCAACAAUUGAGGGCCAUGAAAAUAUACUGCAGUACUUGUCAAUAAAUUUUUGAGAUAACAUUCCAACACCAGCUACAACUAGAAAAUAAUGGAAGACCAACUCCGAAGAGAGGUAUAAUUCAGAAGAUGGAUCACGCUGCUUCAAAAUGGAUACAUACUCACAGAGGAGAAGUGAGAGGAGUCAAGGGAGAGAGAAAUAAACUGCUACUGUGAUGUAUCAUGUAGUGAAGUGUAGGCGAGCAGACAGACAGACAGACAGUCUUACAUGGAAUCAUGAGGCAGUGCUGCAGCGCUGACAGGAGAAACUGCAUAAACGACAAAGACCAUGAGCAACAACGACCUAAAAAGAAGGAAGCAUAUCGAGCAGAUGUUAACAUCGAAGCCGCUCCACAGAUGACGGCGCUGCGUGACCUAAAUGAUUCACAAACAAUGCAUUCUGCUUGACCGAUCACCUCCAGCCUCUCCGCCUGCCACGUCCAGCCGCUUCCUCCGCUCUGGUCUCCCUUCAUUCAGAUCCCUCUGUUCCAUGUUCACUCCAUCCGACCACUGGAUUUCCCCCUGGAUCCCACUACCCAUUCGGAGAAGUUUAUCUUUUCAUUGAUUAUUCAACCUGUGUUUUUGUGCAACCUAAGUAAAAUACUCUGUAUCAUCAGCUCAGUCUCCAGUCUGA